GGGGACGUACGGGGAAGUCAUGGACUGAUAGGGAAUUCCUUGAUUAAGCAACACCACCUAGGGAUAAAGGUAGGACGAUCAAUUGUAUUUUGUUUCCGUGUUACAUGCAUUGCUAAUUACUAGGGGAGACUAGGGAUAGUAAGCUAGUAAUUAGUAGUAGGCUCUUUUCGCCUAGAGAUUGGGUUUAGGGUAGACUAAGACAGUAUGCAUGACAAUUAGAUGUUGAGAUUGUUG
RNAcentral lists this long non-coding RNA (234 nucleotides) under Vigna radiata. Its description in RNAcentral is "long non-coding RNA (VRAD_LNC017096)". Lineage: Eukaryota; Viridiplantae; Streptophyta; Magnoliopsida; Fabales; Fabaceae. The record is from RNAcentral.